CAUAGGUUAAUGAGGCGAACCGGGGGAACUGAAACAUCUAAGUACCCCGAGGAAAAGAAAUCAACCGAGAUUCCCCCAGUAGCGGCGAGCGAACGGGGAGCAGCCCAGAGCCUGAAUCAGUGUGUGUGUUAGUGGAAGCGUCUGGAAAGGCGCGCGAUACAGGGUGACAGCCCCGUACACAAAAAUGCACAUGCUGUGAGCUCGAUGAGUAGGGCGGGACACGUGGUAUCCUGUCUGAAUAUGGGGGGACCAUCCUCCAAGGCUAAAUACUCCUGACUGACCGAUAGUGAACCAGUACCGUGAGGGAAAGGCGAAAAGAACCCCGGCGAGGGGAGUGAAAAAGAACCUGAAACCGUGUACGUACAAGCAGUGGGAGCACGCUUAGGCGUGUGACUGCGUACCUUUUGUAUAAUGGGUCAGCGACUUAUAUUCUGUAGCAAGGUUAACCGAAUAGGGGAGCCGAAGGGAAACCGAGUCUUAACUGGGCGUUAAGUUGCAGGGUAUAGACCCGAAACCCGGUGAUCUAGCCAUGGGCAGGUUGAAGGUUGGGUAACACUAACUGGAGGACCGAACCGACUAAUGUUGAAAAAUUAGCGGAUGACUUGUGGCUGGGGGUGAAAGGCCAAUCAAACCGGGAGAUAGCUGGUUCUCCCCGAAAGCUAUUUAGGUAGCGCCUCGUGAAUUCAUCUCCGGGGGUAGAGCACUGUUUCGGCAAGGGGGUCAUCCCGACUUACCAACCCGAUGCAAACUGCGAAUACCGGAGAAUGUUAUCACGGGAGACACACGGCGGGUGCUAACGUCCGUCGUGAAGAGGGAAACAACCCAGACCGCCAGCUAAGGUCCCAAAGUCAUGGUUAAGUGGGAAACGAUGUGGGAAGGCCCAGACAGCCAGGAUGUUGGCUUAGAAGCAGCCAUCAUUUAAAGAAAGCGUAAUAGCUCACUGGUCGAGUCGGCCUGCGCGGAAGAUGUAACGGGGCUAAACCAUGCACCGAAGCUGCGGCAGCGACGCUUAUGCGUUGUUGGGUAGGGGAGCGUUCUGUAAGCCUGUGAAGGUGUACUGUGAGGUAUGCUGGAGGUAUCAGAAGUGCGAAUGCUGACAUAAGUAACGAUAAAGCGGGUGAAAAGCCCGCUCGCCGGAAGACCAAGGGUUCCUGUCCAACGUUAAUCGGGGCAGGGUGAGUCGACCCCUAAGGCGAGGCCGAAAGGCGUAGUCGAUGGGAAACAGGUUAAUAUUCCUGUACUUGGUGUUACUGCGAAGGGGGGACGGAGAAGGCUAUGUUGGCCGGGCGACGGUUGUCCCGGUUUAAGCGUGUAGGCUGGUUUUCCAGGCAAAUCCGGAAAAUCAAGGCUGAGGCGUGAUGACGAGGCACUACGGUGCUGAAGCAACAAAUGCCCUGCUUCCAGGAAAAGCCUCUAAGCAUCAGGUAACAUCAAAUCGUACCCCAAACCGACACAGGUGGUCAGGUAGAGAAUACCAAGGCGCUUGAGAGAACUCGGGUGAAGGAACUAGGCAAAAUGGUGCCGUAACUUCGGGAGAAGGCACGCUGAUAUGUAGGUGAAGUCC
RNAcentral lists this ribosomal RNA (1564 nucleotides) under Escherichia coli. Its description in RNAcentral is "partial 23S ribosomal RNA". It matches the Rfam family "Bacterial large subunit ribosomal RNA", at positions 165 to 1768 of the family's 2925-position model. Lineage: Bacteria; Pseudomonadati; Pseudomonadota; Gammaproteobacteria; Enterobacterales; Enterobacteriaceae. The record is from RNAcentral.